GUAAAAUAAGGAUGGACUGUUCAUGCAGUCAGAUGAGUGCAUUCUGGUCAAUGGGUUGGAAGUAGAAGUCAGGUAUGCAACUUUUAGGGAAUGUCCUGAAAGGGUGGUCCCCUGUCCUUCUCCUUCCUUUUUCUUAUUCUUGUAAGUUAGACUGAGAAUGUGAAGCUUGAAGCUGAAGCAGCUGUCCUGAACCAUGAAACGAAGGAUGCCUGUUGAGGAUGGAAGCUGCUGGAGUAAACCAGUCAAGAGGAAGACAUAGGAUCCUAUAAAGAGGGAGUCGAGUAUGGGAGAGAGAUGAAGCAAUGUCUCCAAUGAGGCUGAAGGGAAGUUCAGGACAACAGCCCUGCAGCAAGCUUGGAAAGCAGAUUGCCCAGAUUGGAGCAGAAGAGCAGAGAACACCAGGAGGGAUGACUUCAGAGAAAAAGGGAGCUGAUAGAAUACCUCAUGGUCUUGAUGGUCCUGAGGUUUUACAGGACUGGAGGAUAGUUUGGGAAUGAGUUUGUGAUUGUCACAGUUAAGUAAACAAACAAACAAACAAAUUAACAAAAAAUCAAUUAUAAACGAAAGAGAACACAAUAAUUAGAUGAGAAAUAAAAUAUAAUUAAGCGUUCUGCAUGAUUAGCAGUGAUGCAAUCUUAAUAUGAUAAACACAUUAUUGAUUUAAUCAAAAUUUGAGAAAUAGUUGAAACAACUAUAUUGAGUGGGAGAAGGUGUGUGUAUGUGGGGGGUAUGCGUGCAUGUUAUGUAUCUGUGUGCAUGUGUUUCUAGGGGAGAAGCACUGUAAGAGAUUUAACCCUUCAUCUUCUACAAUAAAAACAAUGAUGUCAAAAUAUUUAAAAAUCAAGAAAAAGCAAUAUGGAAGUGAACGCUGAAAAAAUAGCUAUGAAGAUGUUUGCCCCUGACGAAUAGGAAUUAGGGAUGGGAUGGGUAGGGCCAGGAGAAAGAAGUUUUGUCCUUACUGUGUGAAUCUUAGAACUGUUUUGAUAAAAUUAAAAAUUUCACUGUGAUAAAAAUAAUAACUUAA
RNAcentral lists this long non-coding RNA (1024 nucleotides) under Homo sapiens (human). RNAcentral describes it as "HSALNT0072070". The record is from RNAcentral. Lineage: Eukaryota; Metazoa; Chordata; Mammalia; Primates; Hominidae.